RNAcentral lists this ribosomal RNA (253 nucleotides) under uncultured bacterium. Its description in RNAcentral is "partial 16S ribosomal RNA". It matches the Rfam family "Bacterial small subunit ribosomal RNA", at positions 524 to 776 of the family's 1533-position model. The record is from RNAcentral.
UACGUAGGGUGCGAGCGUUGUCCGGAAUUAUUGGGCGUAAAGAGCUCGUAGGCGGCUUGUCGCGUCGGAUGUGAAAGCCCGGGGCUUAACCCCGGGUCUGCAUUCGAUACGGGCAGGCUAGAGUUCGGUAGGGGAGAUUGGAAUUCCUAGUGUAGCGGUGGAAUGCGCAGAUAUCAGGAGGAACACCGAUGGCGAAGGCAGAUCUCUGGGCCGUAACUGACGCUGAGGAGCGAAAGCGUGGGGAGCGAACAGG